Long non-coding RNA from Musa acuminata AAA Group (dessert banana), 2798 nucleotides. RefSeq lists it as uncharacterized. The record is from RefSeq and is a predicted model, not a curated record. Lineage: Eukaryota; Viridiplantae; Streptophyta; Magnoliopsida; Zingiberales; Musaceae. The transcript is spliced from 7 exons.
ACGUCAACAAUUGCAAUGCUUCUGAGAAGACUCAUGUGUGCCAACUAAGUAUUCGGAUGCCUAUUCCACUUCUGGUCGAAGAAACACGGUUUCCCGGCGAUCUGAAGACAUCAAGAUUCACAAAAACUCAUCUUUCACGGCGAACUAUUUGUCUACCAUCGAUAAGCUACGGGGUUAAGUUGUUUGGAAGUACCGAUAUGAUUCGACGAAAGCACGGGUAUUCAUUUCGUUCUAGUUUUCCUCUUCCCAUCCCGGCUUCGUUACGAAGACGCGAGGCGCGAAGAGAAGAGAAGGUUAAGAGCCAUUGCGAGUGACGGGAACGCCGAUCUCCGUCUGUAUCGAUCGAUCCCCGCCGUAAAUCCCGUAGAUCGGUGAACGCACGGCUCGGAUCCCACCGGCCGGUCGCCGGAGAUGAAUAUCUUCAGGUUAGCGGGCGACAUGACGCAUCUCAUGAGCGUCCUCGUCCUUCUCCUCUAGAUCCACGCCAUCAAAUCAUGCGCCGGCAAGUCCCGGUACGUAUUUCCCUCUCCGUCUUUGGUUUCGCUUGCAGUCCGAUUUGAAUAGUUAGGCUUUUAGGAUUUGGUGCUGGAAGGAGAGAUCUUCGAAGCAUCCUAUUUAUUUUCUUGAUAGAGUGGAUCAGAUCACGUCUGACCGUGGAGUUGGGUCACGAUCUGAAUGCCUGCUGCCUAUUUAUGCCCUGCUAAAGAGUAGAACUAAGACACUAGAAAGCUCUUCUACACCAGUAAAGAAAGUGUUACAGCGUGACCAGAGCCUUGCCAACCCUCCUAAUCAAGUUAGUGAAAUGAUUAUUGAAGCUCUAUCACUAAGUCAUGAUGGUGAUAUCUGAUAAGUGUCGUCUAUUGUUCUGUUAAAUUUUAACUGUAUUAUUAUCAUUUUUUAGUUGAGAUUUUAGGAAACAUGUGGAGUGCAAUUUGGAGCUUAUUUUGCGUCAAGAGUACUAAAAUAAUAUAGCAUGUUAGCUAGUUGUUUAGCUACAAGGACUCAUAACUGGGGACUUCUAGAGGUCUUUUUUGGCGGGUCUUAAAAUUGAGAAAAUAACAAAAGCUAAAACUCUCUCAAAUACUGUCUCUCAGUAAGCUAUAUGUUUAUCAGCGACUAAAAGCUCUCGAGACAUGAUUAUGAUUGGUUAUUAUAUUUGUACAAUAAAAUAUUUAUAAAUUCAGAACUCCCUGUCUUAUUCAUUCUUGUAGAGUUUUUUUUUUCCUUUUUAAAUUUGAGAAGUGCUCGAUAGGAGUGACAUAUCCUAUCAAAAAAUGAAAGGAAAGGAAAGAUGCAAGGAAUAAUGCUUUCUCUUCCAUCCACUGAUGGCUUCAGUAUUAUUUAUCUCUUUUGUUUUUUUAUAUGGUCAUUUGAGCAUUUAACUAUAUUUUAUUUGACUGGCUCGACCAUGUAUGAUCUACAUAUUCAACUACUCAGAUUCUAUCAUGUUCUAAGAAUUCAUCUUGUCUAACAAACCAUAUCACUAUUUGCUAUUGACAUAGUUAAAUCAUAAAUGAGAUGCAAUAAGGAUGAACUGAUAUAAAAUUUUGCUUGCCAUUCUUGUAGCUUUGUCAUAUGGCUCACAAUAGCUAGUCCCUGAUUUGCUUCACCUCCUUCAUGUUUUUAAUACAUGAUAUCUCUUGAUGCAUAUAUGUUCAAACAAACCAUGAAGUUUUAUACCUCUCAUCAUCAGAGCCAACAAGAGGCAUUCCUCUGAAGACACAAGAACUUUAUGCCCUUGUUUUUGUCACUCGAUACUUGGAUCUUGUAUGGAGAUUCAUGUCAAUGGCAUAAGAUUUUGGAUCUUGGAUCUUGAUCCUUUUUUUUUGGAAAAAAAAACUCUUUCCACUACAUAAAGUUGGUUUUAUUGUAUGUGUAUAACUUGACAUAGUUCAUGUCAUUUUCUCACAGGCAUUUCUCUGAAGACACAAGAGCUUUAUGCCCUUGUUUUUGCCACUCGAUACUUGGAUAUUUUUACUGAUUUUGUCUCAGUCUAUAAUACGACGAUGAAACUUAUUUUCUUGGGGAGCUUGUUCUCAAUUGUCUGGUACAUGAGAUGACACAAGUUGUCCGUAGAUCUUAUGACAAGGACCAAUACACUUUUCGUCACUUCGUUCUUGCAUUACCAUGCCUAGUUCUGGCUUUAGUUAUAAAUGAAAAGUUCACGUUUAAGGAGGUUAUGUGAACAUUCUCCCUAUAUUUGGAAGCAGUUGCAAUACUUCCUCAGCUGGUAUUGUUACAAAGGACAAAAAAUAUAGUCAACUUGACUGUUCAAUAUGUUUUCUUCUAGGAGCAUACAGAGCAUUUGACAUCCUAAACUGGAUUUACCGCUACUUCACUGAGCCUCACUGUGUUCAUUGGAUAACAUGGAUACCUGGAUUGGCACAGACAUUGCUUUAUGCGGAUUUCUUCUACUACUACUUAAAUAGUUGGAAGAACAAUGUCAAGCUCAAGCUACCAGCAUGAUUUGGUCUUAUUUCAAGGUCAACCAACCGUGGUAGGAUCUAGCCAUAAUGUGUGAGGAGUUACUCUUCUGGAGGCUUACUCCUGUGAAUUCCAUUCUCUUGUUUGAGUCCUUCAAGUUGCCCUAUCGUUUUAACAUGUCAGAGUCAUUUUUUAGCAGGAGUCAGAUAUAAGAUUCGUUAUCUGUUCUGAGCUGAGAUGACAAACUUGGCAAAAGUUUCCAUGUGCUAUGCGUGUUCUUGUAUUGAAAAAAAAAAAAAAAAUUCAAUUUCUGUAAUAUCCUCUCUUUCCAUAUUUCAAGACAGUAUCAAAUCUUAUAUCUGCUUGUUUUUGUU